UACAGAGGGAGCAAGCGUUAUCCGGAAUGAUUGGGCGUAAAGCGUCUGUAGGUGGCUCGUAAAGUCUAAUGUUAAAGCCCAGGGCUUAACCUUGGAAAAGCAUUGGAGGACUCACGAGCUGGAGUGCGGUAGAGGUAGAGGGAACCCCUUGUGGAGCGGUGAAAUGCGUAGAUAUAAGGGAGAACACCAGCGGCGAAGGCGCUCUACUGGGCCUGCACUGACACUGAGAGACGAAAGCUGGGGGAGCAAA
Molecule: ribosomal RNA, 250 nt
Filed under: uncultured bacterium
Lineage: Bacteria
Description: partial 16S ribosomal RNA
Rfam family: Bacterial small subunit ribosomal RNA
Source: RNAcentral